GAUGAAGAACGCAGCGAAAUGCGAUAAGUAAUGUGAAUUGCAGAAUUCAGUGAAUCAUCGAAUCUUUGAACGCAUAUUGCGCUCCUUGGUAUUCUGAGGAGCAUGCCUGUUUGAGUGUCAUUAAAUUCUCAACUACACUGACUUUGAAUUGGUGUGGCUUGGAUUUGGGGGGAAAAUUGUUGUGGGCUUUUUGUAUAGUCUGCUCCCCUGAAAUUGAUUAGCGGUACCUUUGUGGAACUGUCUACAGGUGUGAUAAUUAUCUACAUCUUAGACAUCUGCUGGAAUGCUGCUUUCUAAACCUUACUUGUAUUGACAAUCUUGACCUCAAAUCAGGUAGGACUACCCGCUGAACUUAAGCAUAUCAAUAAGCGGAGGA
RNAcentral lists this unclassified non-coding RNA (376 nucleotides) under soil metagenome. RNAcentral's name for it is "partial contains 5.8S ribosomal RNA, internal transcribed spacer 2, and large subunit ribosomal RNA". The stretch from base 1 to 120 matches the Rfam family "5.8S ribosomal RNA", at positions 35 to 154 of the family's 154-position model. The record is from RNAcentral.